This 321-nucleotide long non-coding RNA is filed under the name Vigna radiata. RNAcentral describes it as "long non-coding RNA (VRAD_LNC012973)". Lineage: Eukaryota; Viridiplantae; Streptophyta; Magnoliopsida; Fabales; Fabaceae. The record is from RNAcentral.
GUAAGCAUAAAAAAAAACCACGCACCUGGGAUGCCGCAAGAGAGAAAAAGAAGAAGAGGCAGACGAUAAAGAAAUCAGAAACAACCACGGAAUGCCGCAAGAGAGAAAAAGAAGAUGUGCCGCAAGCGAGAAAAGGAAAAGACCGCAAGAGAAAAUGGAGAAGAGGAAGACAAUAUCAGAAACUGAAUGCCGCAAAGAGUUUGCGGUUGUAUUUAAAAUGAAAUUGGGCGUCGGUUGCUCCAGACACCGACGUCUAUAUUCACAUAGACGUCGGUUAUCUCACUAAUAUGACGUCCAAGUUAACAUUUCAACUGACCUUUU